CUCAACAGCACUUAGAAGGAUUUGGAGGACUUUGGAAAAAAAUAUUACCAUAUUUCAUUCUCCCAGACACCUCUUCUAUAAUGGACCCUUGAUCUCCCCUGGAGGUAUAUAUUGGGAUUGAAGAGGACAGAGAAAGACUGGAGAGGGCCCUCUCUAGCAGUUAACUCCUUUUGUAAUAAAGCUUUAGUGCUUAAAAAAAAAAAGAA
This 206-nucleotide long non-coding RNA is filed under the name Rattus norvegicus (Norway rat). Its description in RNAcentral is "long non-coding RNA NONRATT016073". Lineage: Eukaryota; Metazoa; Chordata; Mammalia; Rodentia; Muridae. The record is from RNAcentral.